CCAGCACUGGUGAGGCUGUACCUUGAGUGCUGUGUCCAGUUCUCUGCCCCUCAAUUCAGGAAGGAUGUUGAGAUGCUGGAUCAUGUCCAGAGAGGGGCAACAAGGCUGGUGAAGGGUCUACAGAGUAAGUCCUGUGAUGGGGCAUCUGAGGGAGCUGGGGUUGUUUAGCCUGGAGAAAAUGAGGCUCAAGGGAGAUUUUAUCCCUCUCUACAGCUCCCUGACAGGAGGCUGUAGCCAGGUGGGGAUCAGUCUCUUCUCCCAGGCAACCAGUGACAGGAUGCGGAAGUGGACUUGACGCCCUUGCAUCACGGGAGGUUUAGGUUGGACAUCAAGAAGAAUUUCUUCACAAAAAGGGUGGUUAGGUAUUGGACUGACCUGCCCAUGGAUGUAGUGGAGUCUCCAUCUCUGGAGGUGUUCAAGGAGCAACUAGAUUUGUCACUUAGUGCUGUGGUUUAGUUGACAAGGUAGUGUUCAGUCAAGGUUGGACUUGAUGAUCUUGGAGGUCUUUUCCAACCUUAAUGUUUCUGUGAUUCUAUCAUUCUACACUGUGAUACAUCAGUCAAACAGAACUGGCUGUUUUUCAAGAGGCUGAUGCAGAAGGAGGCAGAUGGUAAGGCUGGCUAUGCAGCCUCCUAACUUUUCAGAUCAGAUAGUGCACCAAAAACCUCUCACUACAUACAACAGAAACUGCACAUUUCUGAAGGAUUUCAUUCCACAUGGUAAGAAGUCUCAGGGUAUGUGUUACAAAAUUUAUAAUUUUUGAGCCCAAAUGAGGAAGCUUAGACCCCUGAAUCCAGAUAUAAGCCUUAGCAUCCUCCUUGACUGAUCUAAACAUAAUACAAAUCUUGAACACCUUGGUAUUUCAAUAACUGUAAUGCAGAAAUUAUUUGUAUAAGCUUUAUAUGACCUAACUCAUGUUCAAUGGUGGUCUAGUUACAACUGUAGAACGCUUAGGGUAGGCUGCAAACUUACCCAGGAAACAUGGUAAAUCAGUUUACACUCAAUAGGCUGCUGACCCAGUUGCACUGUUAUUAAUAACCCAGUGGAUUCAGGUUUAGCAUUAGCCUGGGUGUUUGUGUAUCACACAGCAGUCACAGAUGUGCUUUCAGAUGUGCAACAUUCAGUGCCUCUUUAUUUAGAGUUUGUGCUCCUCUGAGCAGAAAAUGCUAGGCAUUUUUAUUUUCUUAUAUAUUUCAUAUUUAGAAAUUAAAAGUAUGCUGAAACCCAGUAUAUUUGUCUACUGAUCUGACUGCUUCCUCUUAACAGAGUUUGUUUUCCAUAAGCAAGAUGCCACUCAUACUUGCAGUUUCUGCUCAAUGUCUCUGAAGUGAUGCAUGUCAGACUGAGCCCAGCAGGAGAGUACAAACUUUUAUGCACUGGCUUUAAUGUUGAUAAAGCACUGAGCAGAUGUUUGGCAUUUUGUUAUAUGCAAACAAGAAUUAAGUCAGGACUCCCUAAAUCAUACUAGACACAGACAUGACAGGGGGCCCUGCAUCUGCUUACCAGUUAGUGCCACUCAGCAUGGCCUGGCUGGGGUCCAGCUGCAGCUACAGAAAGGUUCAGGUGUUUGAAGGUGGUUCAGGUGCUUGAGGGCUCAGCCAAUGUUCCUGUCACUAGCACUGGAGGAGACUGAGGCAGCUGAGCUCAGCCCAGAGUUUACCCAGAAGCAACUCAAAAUAUAUAUUCCCUAGAUGUAUAUACAAGAGGCAAAAAUCUUUUUUAUUGAAGGCUUCGUUUUCUCAACAGUUUAAAUACACAUUAACAGUUGUAUAAAACCCUAUUCAGUUCAUUUGUCUCCUUCUUGAUGCGUAUUCAGGGAAAGACUUUUUUUCUGGCAAGUUAAUGCUAAACAAAAUAUGGCCUGGAUUUUUCAGUGUAGGGAAGCCAUGCAUACAGGAAAUCUAGCUGAGCAGCCAAAGAUCACUCAGACAAGAGUUCAAGAUGUCCAAGAUUUCAAGGCUGUGUAAAGGGGUUUUGUGAUCAUACCAAAAUAAUUUGCAACACGGGCCUUUGCCAAAGUGACAUUAUUUAACCCAGAAACUUGGAGAUAAACUAUGAAUUAGUCACUAUUAAACUCUAGAAACUCUAGAACUCUCUUCAGCUCUAGAAUAUCUCUUGGAGAUAAGAAGGGAGGAGAGUAUAAGUAACGCUACAAGGGGUGAGAGUGCUGCCAUUCUGAUGCACCUUUGGAGUACCAGUGGUUUAAUGUUGGCAUAUACGUAAUGCUAAUGACUGUGUGUAAUGUAGAUUUAGGACAAAAGACACAAAAAGCUAGAGAUCUUUUCCAUUUAAUUAACUACUGAGUCUGAGUUCUUCUCAAGCAAUGUAUCAGUGCUCUUGGAAGUGUUGUCCUGACACUCAUCUAAUAUUGUUUUACACAGGAUUAAACUGGGAUAAUUUAUUUUAAAAACAAACAAAACUAAACAAUGAAGCAAAAAACAUCCAAGCCCCAAGAUGCAUCAGGAGAAAUGCUCUCUGAUGCUUUGGCUUGUCUCUGUUUCCCGUAGUUGGCAGACCAGGUUUAACAAAAGGCCUGCUUCCCACUUGGAAGCAUCCAUCACAGCAUCAGGUAUGCUUUCCAUUGGGCUAUAGGAGGGGAUCUAGAAAUCUGUUGGCAAUCAGCAGAUGGAGACAUGCACUGAUAGCAGACUCUCAGUUCCUCAGGUGUUAGCUCAAGGCUGUGCUGCAUCUCUGGAUAAGGCACCAGAAGCAUUUUGUAGGAGCAAACUUUAUUUCCCUCUCUCAAAAAAGUGUCAUAGAGCUCACCUGUGCAAUCUUCUCAUGUGCUGAAGGAGGAAUCCAGAGAGAUACCCAGUUGAAUAUGUGCUUGGGGAGCUGUGAUUCAUUUCUAGCUGGGUCUCAAACAGUGCAAUGCUGUAGUCUUUUCUACUUAUAUUUUUAGAAACAUCUUUUUUGUAAGGAAAGCAUAAGUGGUCUCACUAAGAGAAAUUCAAUUACUGAUAAGAUAGGCAUGAAUACCAACACUAGCACUCCCACUGAAGUGUUUUGUCCAUUAAUUACAAUUGUAAGAUAAAGUAAGAGCCACUUAUCUGGUUUUGACAAAAUUGCCUCUUAAACUGCAUUGGACCAUCCUGUGGCACUGAGUUACUCCAAUUAACUAUACUACAGGACUUAUCCUCUUGUUCUUCUCUGGUGUAAUUUUAUACCUCAUUACUUCUUAUGAGAAACAGUUAAUAAUGAACCAAUUCAACUUCCUCCCUCAACUAUAUAAGUUACUGCUAUUGGCCCCACACAUGCCUCUUUUUUCAGGAUUACAAACCCAUGCUCAGUUAGUUCCCAUGUAGAAAUACAAGUCUGCUAAAGUUCUUAAAUGAGUUCAGUAAAUCCAUAACUCAUUAGAGUAUUCUGUUUGUUUCAUGUAGAAAAAGGAAAAACUCUAUGAGGAAGCUUCUAAAAUUCCUUUUUAUUCAGUGGGAAACACAAAACCUUAGAAAUAUAUAAACAUUCAUUUUUGUUAUCUAACCAUUUAAUAGAAAAGAUAUCACCAUCUCUUUGAGCAAGAAAUAAGCACCAGCAGCUUCUCUUAAUUCUCUUCAUGAGUACACUGAUUUUUUUUUUUUUUUUUUUUUCUGCUGCUCCUUCUCCCUGGUGAUGUGAAGACUGACUUUCUUUCCUAAGUUACACAGUUGCACCAAAACUGACAGAGAGAUCUCUCCACUGACUAGGUGACAGUCCAAAAGGGAGCAAGGGCUAUGUGAAUCCUUUCAGAUGGAGUAGUAGCUGUUUCCCACAGCCUGGAAGUGUGCUGAAUUCUCAAUUUUUAUUUCCAUUUUGGUGAACCUCCUUCCUCUAGCUGUGUGUUGAGGGGGAUGCCCAUCACUUCCUGACUCUCUUUUUGAAAACAUAGAAUGGGCAUCUAAGACUAAGGGCUUGGGAUCCGCUGCUCAUGUCUGCUCAUCCCUGUGACUUAAGGUCCUCAAUAGAGGUGAGACUAGAUGGCUCUAGUCUCAAUGUUUGUUUUCUUGUUGAUUAUCUUGUGCAGCUGUUGGGAAGCUCAGCUGGAGAUGUUUACUUUGUAUACCUUGUAUAAGCAGAUAAUGUGCCUUGUUCAACAUAUGGAGGCAAGCAUAGGAAACAGGCAUCUAAAUCUUACGACCAUCAAAAAAUCCCAGUUCUUUUGUGGAUCAAAUCCUUAAGAAUUGAAAUACUUUAAAAAUCUGGUUCUCAGAAUCCAGUUUUAAGAACAGCAAAAACUAUUCCUUUUACCAGUUGAAUGAUUUAUUGAAUCAUGUCCCUAAAUUAUUGAUUUAGGAAAUUGCAAAAGAUGAUUCCUGAAGGACCUCAUAGUAUUAAAAAAAGAAAAAAAAAAAAAAACAAAACAAAACCGGAAUUGAUUAGUAUGUAUGUAUGUAGAUGUUCAAUUUCUUAUUUGGUGUCUCCUUGGACCUAACCAUUUAUUCCAUGUUCUUCUCAAGGAAUAUGUAUUAGGAAAAGAUUUUCAGAGCUCUUUUUAGUAAUUAGGUUCCUAAAUCAAGCAGGAAUUAUCUGUGGUUUGUAAAGACAGAUAGGCAAAAUCCUUUCUAUCUAAUUUAGAAUUCUAACCAAAACAUUGUCCUGACAAAAUUUCAAACACAGAACUCUGCAGGGCAAUCUCACUCUGCCUAUUGUAGCUAUCCAGGUCAUUUUUGCAACCUACAGAAAAAGGGAAGCACCUCUGAACCCCAGCUAGACUCAGCCAGUUCUCUAAGUACAGAUUGAUUGCACAAAGAAUUUAAAAGCCUCAUGAGGGCAAUAAAAUUCUUCUAAAUUAAGCACCAGAUUUAGUAGGAUUUAGACAUCAACUUGUGAGCUAAAGUCUAAACUCCCAUUAUAAUCACUGAAGAACAGGUCAAUACAGUCAAUGGAGUCUAAAAGCCAAUCCAGCUUUCCCUUUACUAAAAGAAGGAUGCAGUUAAUGUGAGAUGGCCCAUAUUUUGUGAAACAUUUACAUGGGGACUGCACACUGACACGAAAACUUCACCCCACAUCUAAAAUGAUACUAGUUUUAACAUGGGAAUCCCACUACAGGGGAAGAUUUUCUCAGAUGCUCCAGGAUAUCCUGCUUCCAGCUAUUAAUUCAGGGAGGUUUGGGAUUAUGGGUACCAUGUCAGAUCUCCCAACUUCCUAUAAAUGUCAGAGCUACCCUCACUAUCACACAGUGCCACUAUUUAAUCAGAAUCUACCUUGCCUGCCCCUCUUCUGAACAUUUGUGUCAGUUCAAAUAGAGGAUUCAAUUUCUCUAUAAUUUUAUUUUUACACCUCUAAAUCCUGUAUGUGGAUUAUCCAGAUUCUCAUCCUCCUGAGAGGGAAAGGACCACAGCCCAGGACAACUUAAACUGCCAAGUAUCAGUAGACUGUAAAAAAGCACAUUCUGGAAGAUUAAACAUGGGUCAAGCAGGCAUGACAGAGUUAUGGAGCCAGGAAAAUUACAGUGUUAUGCUUUGAGCUGAUGCUAGAUAUCAGCCCCAAAUGGUGUGCUAGAAUAUGAAUACUUGCCUGGUGCUGCAAUCUUGAUUUUUCACUCCAUUAGAAUCUCCUAACAAUUGGGCAACAGUCAAGCUACCUUUCUUUGGGCUCUAGCCCCCUGAUGCUCUUAUUUCUGCUUACACAGAGGCCAGACUUGAGAUGACAAGUGUGUUUAACAGGGGUCCUGUGAUGCCUUCCUGAAACUCAGAAGGUGGUGGUUCAAACCUUUCUCAGAUGAGUAGGCUGGAGAAGCUUUCCAGCUUCCUCAUACUGUCUUCUGACCAGUAAAUAAUUAUGCAAAGAAGGAAACACAAUCCCCACCUCAGAGCAGAUAAAGCCCCUAGCAGUUAGUGGGUAGACUCAGGCCAUGACAUCUGAGAAAAAAUUACACACUAUAAUUGACAGAAAAACAUAAGGAUGAUUUCUCAGUGGCUCCCUUAACCAAUUAGUUUAAAACCAACCAGUUCUCAAGGGAGAUUACACAGAAGUAGAAAGGAAAAUCUCUUACACCAUAAAAAUACCUCUAAUUACUAUUGCAUGAGAAAGGAGGGAAUAGUGUUUUGUAUUUCAGUCCAAACCUAAUCUGUGCCACAAAUGGUGACUUUCAGGUUUAUAUGGAAAAUAUAUUUUUAAAAAUUCAUUAUCUCUCAACUAAGAAAAUAAGAGAAUAUUAUAAACUUUUAAAACAUGCUUAAUUCUUGGUCUGAAAUAACUGCACAUAAUUUCAUCAUACGUAAUUUCAAAAAAAAAAAAAAAUUUCCAAAUCAUCUUUCUCAGCACCAUGUUAUAGCAUGAUGGCUAUCUUUUGGGGGCUGUGCUGGUUUUGGCUGGGGUAGUUAACUUUCCUCACAGUGACUGGCAUGAGGCUGUGUUUUAGAUUUGUGCUGAACACAGGGUUGAUUAAUUAUAGAGAUGUUUUUUGUUAUUGCUGAGCAGAGACAGAGCCAAGGCCUUUUCUGCUUUUCAUACUGCCAGGCUGGCGAGAAAGUUGGGGCUGCAUGGGGGGUUGGGAGGGGACACAGCCCAGACAGGUGACCUAAACUGACCUAAGGGAUAUUCCAGACCCUGUGGCAUCAUGCACAGUGUAUACAGUGGGUGGGAGAAGGAGGAAGGUUGGAGCGAGGACGUUUGUUUUCCCAAGUCACUGUUACUUGUGAUGCAGCCCUGCUCUCCUGGAGAUGGCUGAACACCUGCCUGCCCUUGGGAAGCAGUGAAUUCAUUCCUGAUUUUACUUCCCUCAUGUGCAUGGCUUUUGCUUUCCCUCUUAAAUUGUCUUUAUCUCAACCAAUGAUCUCUCCUGGAUCCUACUGGUGGAGGAGUGAGUGUGCAGUGCUUGGCAGCUGGCUGGUGUUAAACUACAACAGGGACAAUUAUCCAGGCAAUUAAAAGGUAUUACAACAUGUAAAUAUAUUCAAAGUGAAAAGAUACUAACUUUGACCUGAAUUUUUUUUUUUAAAGCUCAUCACAAAGACAUGUAUUAAAUUAAAAGAAGAUUUUAAGUAAUUAUUUUUAUUUACUUUCCAAUAGUCACUUAGUAUCCUAUGUUCCUCUAAAACUGUGAUGGCAGUAAAGAAAUUGAUUAAUUUGGGUAAGGGAAAGAAAGAUCAUUCUUUUUGCAGUAAUUAAUAUUUGCAUAGCAGGAGGUCCCCUAUUUUAAUAAAGAGCCCUCUUAGAGGAUGACAGCCUUCCAAGUAUGCAUCAGAACUUCUUAAGAACUUAAUGCAAAAAGUCUCCAAAAGUUAGGAAAAAAACAUGAUUAUUCAUCUUGUUUGGAAUGAGUUCCCAAGACAGGAUCCAGGUUUUGCAUCUAAAUAGGAGGUUGAAACCUCUGUUAGACAACCAUUUCUUCCAUUUUCAGUACACCUAAAAUCCCAAAGCACUGGAGAACUUUGGAAACCUCUGAAGAUCUGAAGACACCACAGAGUUUACAAUAAGUAUGGAAAUCAAUAGCACAUUUUGUAUGGAUUAUUAUCUGUGCUUUUGGCCCAUCCCUCCAAUUUUUCUGCAUGGCAGCCCUGCUUGGACAUACCAACUACUUGCCAUAUGUCUGCCAACCUGGUAAGAAUGCAUUACCUUGCACCUUUGACAAAUUGGACAGGUCUCAAAAGAGACCCCUGCAGUGCUGCAUUUACAAUCUGCCUCUAAACCCACAAACUCUCUGAGUUCAACAAUUUUUUUACCCACCUGGUUUCCCAUCCAUUUACUGCCAUCCUCUGGCAUUUUAACUUGGGUAGAAUUAUAGAAUCAUAGAAUGUCCUGGUCUGGAAGGGACCAUAAGAUCAUCAAGUUCCAACACCCCUUCCUUGGGCAGGGUUGCCUUCCACUAGACCAGAUUGCUCAAAUCUAAUCACUACCAAAACAAUCAGCUCCUACAGCUGUCACAUCUUCAAACCAUUUCACUUCUGCAAGGAUGGAUCUCCUGAGAUAAUAUUUGGAAUUUAACAGACUGCAGCUCACACAUUGCUUGAAGACCCACUGAACAUGUAAAAAUACUGAACAAGUGAGAUUAUUUGAGGAAACCUGUCUAAUUGCAAGUAUGUAUUUCACAUAAUUUAAUAGUUGUUGCCAUACCAGCUGUUCAAUCAGGAAAUGCUUGUCAGCUUUGAGUCCACAUUCAACUUUAUCAUACAGACUAAAGACAACAGGAUGUAUUUAUCUCACUUUAAUCACUAUGUUUUGUCUACUUGUGACCUGUACCGUGACUUAGAUAUCAAUCCUAGUAUUUUAUAGGGUAAAUAUUGGUACAAUUAUAACUUUUAUUAAAUUUCCAGAUUUUCCCCCAAAUAGAUGAUUGGGUUUAAUAUUGUUAACACCACUGACUAAGAAAGAUAUAUUUUUUAUAUUUUUGAAAGUGAAUACUAAUAAAUUUUACAUUCUUCCAAAAUAUCUAUUUCAAAAUAUGCUAACCACGUAUUAAAAGAUAAUGAUAAAAAACUGUAUGAAUAAUAUUUCAGUAUGAUAAUAUAUUAAUUUUCAAAUAUGAGUAAUGAAUAUUUUUUAAUCUUAUUUUUACACAAUAAUCGUGUUUUGUUAUUAGAAGUUAGAUUGCUGUGGGAAAUGCCAAGGCUGGGCAAGGAAAGUUUUUGCUUGGGGUCCCCAGAGCUUAUUCCAGGAUGGAGAAGGUGUGCACUUCAGAUGAUGCUCUGUCCACCACUCCCAUCAAAACCUGUGUAGGUCUAGGCACAGGAACAAGCCAGCUGCUCAGCCAUCCUUUCCCUUGUCUGACAGCAGAGGACAGCACACAGUGUGUUUUUGUAUCCCAGCAGGUUGCCAGGCCCAGGCAGUGAAGAAAGGCCAAGGCAGAAGCUAUGUCACACAGAAGAGAUGGCCCAGCAGCAACAAACCUGUCAGUCACCAGGACGUUGCUUGUUCAUUUUUCCAGAAACAGACUCUUUCUCCCAGCUCCUGAGAAGCUGUACACUGCCACCCUCUCAUACUGAAACUUCACUAGGAAUACAGCCAGAUGUGUGCCCAGGAGGUGCUUGUCAACAUGUCCUUCUCCACCUGUGCUGAAGUUCUUUCAUCACCAGAUCGAAAUUCCUGCCCUUAGUGUGGCCUAAAUCCAUGUCCUUCUGCUGGCCCAUGUAGAAAUGAGGCAAUUAGCAGCACUAAGAUGUGAGAAGAGAAAAAAUCCCAGUACCAACAUAUCCUACCAUUGUGCAUCCCAUUCUUCUGACCCUGAGGGGAGGUGACUGGAUACCCUUGCUGCACUCCAGCAUGAAGAUCCUGUUAGUGCUAGUCUUACUACAAAGCACGAGAGAAGUGAAGUCUCUAAUCUCCACUCAUCUCUCAGGCCUAAAACUGCUGAAGGGUUCACAUUACCCUCUGCCUGGCAACAUUUGGGAUGUGCAGCACACAUCUGGGAUGUGCAGCAGCAAAUUGAUGGUUGUACCUCUGCCACUGACCUUCCUGCCAAAUCUUCUUGACAGCAGUACUGAUUGUCUAGAUGUAAGAAGGAUGGGAAAACAAAGUGAACUGUCUUUGCCAUUUAGUGAAAAAAAGGAGUCAAAUAUCCCAUCCUUCUUUUUAAAGAAUUAAGAAUGAUGGAAUCACUAAGAGCUUUGUUGUGGACUCUUACUUGCUGGCCUGCUGCCUGAAGAAAAGUAUUGAAAAGAUUAAGGGAUCUACAAGAGAAAAAGGAGAGUCUAAAAUAGAUUGAGGACUUAAGUAAGUCUGUUUAAAUGGCUUUUUUAUCUCAAGAGCCUCUCUAAAAAAUCUUUAGCAACUCAGGCCAUCAAAGAAAUUUCACAAUGAUCAGAAAUUAAAUUACUACAAUUCACUGAUUUCCUAGUUCAAGAAGUGACUACUGCAAAGUGUACUAGCAUUUCAAAGGGAUGCCUCAUCUCAGCAGCUGUUUUUUGUGUCCCAGAUGUCUAUUUGCCCUCUCUGUGAACUGACACACUGUGGUGUGCUAGUUAGUUCCACUUCUACUUCAAAGCUCAUAAAAUCACCCCACAGUUCUCUCCAGGAUGUGAAUGUUUAUGAAACACCAGUCAGCAACCCUGACUGCAACCAGCAGCACCUAUUUUUGAAGCCAGCAGGCUUCACAUCCACAGCAUCAGAGUCAAAUAUGAAAACUGAAUUAACCUGCAUAAGAAGAAGAAGGCAGCGAGUUCUCCUUGCCAGGGAAUGCUUCAGCUUUAUUUCAGCCAUUUUGUCAUCUGUGUCACCAUAGAUGGGCACAAACAAGAAAAAUAUGUGCCUUAUUGCUUAAGGCAUUCUGGACAGGCAGGAAGGCUGGUGAAGAAUUUGUUUUGGUGACAGCUGGAGGGGCCUAGAGGGCUGUCAGCUCUAAUACAGUCAGAUUGAGAAUUAAUUCCCACAUGCAAGAUGCAGAUACAAGCAUCAAAAUUUGGAACCCAUUUAAUCAGGGGAGCAGCAGUGUCUGCUCUGGUCAGCAGGGGAUGUGUCAUUUGCUCUGAAAUACACAGGUUCAGGGUUUUCACUUCAGCAAAGUAUUCUUGUAGAUGCAUAACCUGACUGUUUCAAGUUCCUGAGUAUUGGAAAAUCCUUCUCUUUUACAGAAGAACCGUAACAUUUUUUUCUCAAAAAACCCAGAAAGAUUGCAAAUCAAAUUACUUGAACUGCAGGUAGAUCAUCUUACCUGAAGAGAUAAGCAAAUUAGGACAUAUUUUGUUCUUCCUAAUACCAGAUAGAUCUGGAAUAAAUCCAUAGAUUUCAUCAGAGCUAUCUCUUAUUUGUACAAGUGUAAACAAAGCAAGAAAAGUCUAGUUAGCUCUUUUCCCAUGUAGUGUAUACAGAGAUUUGCACAUUUGAUGUGUAUGUAAUUUGUUCAAUCUCUCUUUAUGUGUAAUGCUCUCACAUAAAUCAGGAAAAUACAUCUAUGCAUUUGUUUUCUUUUUCCUGUUUUAAAGGAAGACUCUGGCAAGUUGAGCUCCAGUUAUCAUUACUGACAUCCCAAAUACCAUAUGAAACUUUCCAGAUGCUUUGAGAAUUUCAGUUUGGUUUGGAACAAACAACUUAUAAAAGCUUCCCUUUCAGGCAAUAUAAAAAAAUAAUUAUAUUACCUGCACUUAGGGUUCUAAAAAUUUAAACAACUACUUGUUAUAUUUUCAUAAUUGCAGUGUUUCCUAGAUACAUUGUGUCACAGAUACACAUCUGUGUAGUCUUUUAUUGUAUGCAUUCAGUCUGUCUUUAAAAUCCAGAAGUGGAAAAAUAGCACCUCCUGCCUAGCAAAGCUAUUAUUUUAAGUGUCAAGCAUUAGGCUUUUCAAGACAGGUGAACCUAUAGUAAGCAAGAACAAUUUUAUGUGGAAAGUCUGAUCCUGAAUACAGUCACUCAGAUCUCAACUGGUUAGAUUUUCAAGAUCAGAGAAAAGGCAGACAAAACCCAGCUUUUCACCUGAACUCUACAUUUGAGACAUCUUUCCUUGAAUCAAACUUGCUCUAUGCCAAAUUUGGAUGAUUUUAGCUCAAACUGAGGUUCUCCUUGAGAGGCCAGAUGAGUGCAUGUGUAAUCUGAAAAGUUGUAAGGGAGUAUAUAAGGGGCUCCUCUUGUUCUGCAGAAGAAUCACAGAGCAGAAGUUAACCCUACAAGCCUCCUACAAGCCUAUCAGUGUACUGGAGUAGACUGAUACUGCAGGUCUGAGAUGUUCUGAGGAGGGGAUAGUUUCACUUCCUUCAUACUAAUUUUGGCAGAUUCUUUAAUUUCCUAGGGUAAGUCUGACCAACUUGAAACUAUGCCAUCCUAACAGAUUGGUACAAGCAUGAGGACAAGAGACAAUGUACAAUAGACGUAUGAAAUGUGCCAAGAUAUGAAAUUGUUUUCUGCCUAAAGCUUCCAUACUUCUUACAGAUAGGGCAAAUGCUCAGGAAUUGCAGUAAAAUUUGAAAAAUUUAAAAUAAAAAAAAUUAAAAAUAGAAUGUAACAAAAUUAACUUCCACAGCUGCUGGAGGCUUUCCUUGACCUUUACAUGUAUUUGUGAGCAUACUUCUUUGCAGAAAUACAUUAGGGAAGAUACUAAAAUGUGCUUUCCUACCUCUUCCAUGUCUGACAACAAUUUCAUUAUUGUCUUCAUUAUUCCAUACUCUCACGAAUAAGGAAGAGAUGCUGAUUUUCAAUGGCUAAGAAAUGCAUCACUUUUCAUCUAUAAAAUUAAAAUUCAACUUUGUCCUUACUGAGUUGGUCUUUUGAAAGAAAUUCAUUAGUGCAUGACCAAUGGAAUUAAAAAAAGAAAUGCAUCUGUGCAGGAACAAUUUUGCUCCACAAAUAACUCCAGAAAGUCAGAUUCCUGUACACUGACAUCAGGGCUCUUCAUUUGGCUCUUCACCAAAUCAAGUUAUAAAAAAGAGCAUGAAGCAUCCCACAAACAGCUACUUCCAGACUGCUGCAAGCAAAACUGUGAACACCAGGCAAGACACAAUCCUCACUGCUGCCAUGCAAGACACUACUUCUGAAAUUCUCCUGCAUUUUUCUUUGCCAUGCUAGUAAAUCAUCAGGGUGUUUUUAGCAGUAAACACAUCUACUCUGCCUUUAAAAAUUACAGUUUUGCACUCUUGCAAUAAAUUUCACUUAAAUAUAUGCAAAAUAAAAUAUUUACUUUCAACAUCAUUCUCAAAA
This is a non-coding RNA of Lonchura striata (white-rumped munia), 12546 nucleotides long. The record is from RefSeq and is a predicted model, not a curated record. NCBI's taxonomy places the organism in Eukaryota, Metazoa, Chordata, Aves, Passeriformes, Estrildidae.